Paracoccidioides brasiliensis is the source of this 72-nucleotide non-coding RNA. NCBI's taxonomy places the organism in Eukaryota, Fungi, Ascomycota, Eurotiomycetes, Onygenales, Ajellomycetaceae. The record is from Rfam.
AAGAAAUUAGCUCAGAGGUAGAGCUGUCGUUUUACACACGAAAGGUCAGGUGUUCAACUCACCUAUUUCUUA